This is a long non-coding RNA of Equus caballus (horse), 973 nucleotides long. The record is from Ensembl. Lineage: Eukaryota; Metazoa; Chordata; Mammalia; Perissodactyla; Equidae.
GAGAAGGAGAAGAAGACAUUCAGGGAGGCCAGUGAGGAAGAUUGGCCCUGACCUAACGUCUGUGCCAAUUUGUGCCAUUUUGUAUUUGGGAUGCUGCCACAACAUGGCUUGACAAGUGGUGCAUAGGUCUGCGCCCAGGAUUCAAACCCCCAAACCCCAGGUCGCUGAAGUGGAACAUGCAAACUUAACCUCUAUGCCACUUGGCUGGUCCCAGUUUUAUUUUUUAUCCACUUGAUCUGUACAUUACAGAAAAAUAUAUUAAAAUCUCCUAGUAUGAUGAUGGGUCCCAGAGUCUGGCUCCUAUUCCCAGUACACAAGACCUAUCAAAACCUGGCUCUAGGCCCCCGGGGACUGGCAGACAUCUUCAGGGCACAGUGCCAAAUGUGUUCAUGAAGACAGUAACAUUCCUCUCAUCAUUUUCUCCAGAACUUUGGUGCUUUGAGUCAAAGGUUGACAUAAAGCUUUCAAAACAAAUGCGUGUUUGCACCUCCGCCUCGGGGCCGCAGGAACCUGGACUCAGGGACUAUUUAGACAACACUGAGUUGGAGGAGAAGACUACCAACUGCUCUGGAUUGAUGACACCGUUUGGGCGUAAAAUGGGCAGAAGGAGGAUGGUAGGAAGAAAAGCAGGAGAGAUGUUGCUGCCUCUUCUCAGAGAAUGGAUUGUGGCUAGCUGGACACUGGGCCCUCCGCUGGCACUGUGGUCACUGCUGGCCCCAGUGCCACCAAUGCCACAGGACACUGGAUGCCAUAGCCACCAACUCCACCAGAAGGAGUUCCGAUUAUGUUGUUCAGUCUGGAUUUAGAAGUCUCAGCUAGGAAUAGUGGCAGAAGUAAUUGAGAAGCAAGAAGUAUGAGGAUGGACGGGGAGGGAGCAAACCACUUACCCGGUCAUGGACGAUUUGCCAGGAGCUGGGCCUUUAAUCAUCAGUUUUCUAUUAAUUCCUGGAACCAGACCCUCCCUGGCACAAUG